GUUCAAAUUUCCUUAUGUUUAUCGUUCAUUCUAACUCUACAAAUGGACCU
RNAcentral lists this transfer RNA (50 nucleotides) under Trema cubense. RNAcentral describes it as "tRNA-Leu". Lineage: Eukaryota; Viridiplantae; Streptophyta; Magnoliopsida; Rosales; Cannabaceae. The record is from RNAcentral.